Molecule: ribosomal RNA, 529 nt
Filed under: Nanobdellota archaeon
Lineage: Archaea; Nanobdellati; Nanobdellota
Description: partial 23S ribosomal RNA
Rfam family: Bacterial large subunit ribosomal RNA
Source: RNAcentral
UAAAAAGUUACUCAAGCGCACACAAAGGAUGCCUUGACAUAAGAUACCGAUGAAGGACGUGAUAGGCUGCGAAAUGCCUCGGGGAGCUGCCAAAUAAGCUUUGAACCGAGGAUGUCCGAAUGGGGAAACCCGGCUAGGGUCAUACCUAGUCACUCUUAUCUGAAUAAAAUAGGAUAUGUAGCGGUAAGCUGGGGAACUGAAACAUCUUAGUACCCAGAGGAAAAGAAAGUAAACAACGAUUCCGGUAGUAGUGGCGAGCGAAUCCGGAAGAGCCCAAACCUUUUAGGUUUUUGCCUGGUAAUUUAUUACUAGGUAAAUAAGUUGACAGACGAAUAUCUAAAAGGGGUUGUGAGAGUCAAAUAACCAAGCCAGAACGCUAAAUUUAUUUAGCUGUCUGGUUUGCGGCUAGAACUGUCAUUUUCUAGCAUAAGGUCAGAAAUUAGCGUUGCGAGCAGAAGUGUUUGGAACAAUACGCCAUAGACGGUGAGAGCCCGGUAUGCAAAGUAUCGCUAACCUUAUAAUUUGACGG